Molecule: ribosomal RNA, 479 nt
Filed under: uncultured bacterium
Lineage: Bacteria
Description: partial 16S ribosomal RNA
Rfam family: Bacterial small subunit ribosomal RNA
Source: RNAcentral
GAUGAACGCUAGCGGGAGGCCUAACACAUGCAAGCCGAGCGGUAGAGUUUCUUCGGAAACUUGAGAGCGGCGCACGGGUGCGUAACACGUGUGCAACCUACCUUUAUCUGGGGGAUAGCCUUUCGAAAGGAAGAUUAAUACCCCAUAAUAUAAUGAUUGGCAUCAAUUAUUAUUGAAAACUCCGGUGGAUAGAGAUGGGCACGCGCAAGAUUAGAUAGUUGGUGAGGUAACGGCUCACCAAGUCAAUGAUCUUUAGGGGUCCUGAGAGGGAGAUCCCCCACCCUGGUACUGAGACACGGACCAGACUCCUACGGGAGGCAGCAGUGAGGAAUAUUGGACAAUGGGUGAGAGCCUGAUCCAGCCAUCCCGCGUGAAGGAUGACGGUCCUAUGGAUUGUAAACUUCUUUUGUACAGGGAUAAACCUACUCUCGUGAGGGUAGCUGAAGGUACUGUACGAAUAAGCACCGGCUAACUCCGUG